This 460-nucleotide ribosomal RNA is filed under the name uncultured bacterium. Its description in RNAcentral is "partial 16S ribosomal RNA". It matches the Rfam family "Bacterial small subunit ribosomal RNA", at positions 338 to 795 of the family's 1533-position model. The record is from RNAcentral.
CCUACGUGAGGCAGCAGUGCGGAAUAUUGGUCAAUGGACGAGAGUCUGAACCAGCCAAGUAGCGUGAAGGAUGACUGCCCUAUGGGUUGUAAACUUCUUUUAUAUGGGAAUAAAAUGUUCCACGUGUGGGAUUUUGUAUGUACCAUAUGAAUAAGGAUCGGCUAACUCCGUGCCAGCAGCCGCGGUAAUACGGAGGAUCCGAGCGUUAUCCGGAUUUAUUGGGUUUAAAGGGAGCGUAGGUGGAUUGUUAAGUCAGUUGUGAAAGUUUGCGGCUCAACCGUAAAAUUGCAGUUGAAACUGGCAGUCGUAGGUACAGUAGAGGUGGGCUGAAUUCGUGGUGUAGCGGUGAAAUGCUUAGAUAUCACGAAGAACUCCGAUUGCGAAGGCAGCUCACUGGACUGCAACUGACACUGAGGCUCGAAAGUGUGGGUAUCAAACAGGAGUAGAUACCCCUGUAGUC